RNAcentral lists this ribosomal RNA (483 nucleotides) under uncultured bacterium. RNAcentral's name for it is "partial 16S ribosomal RNA". It matches the Rfam family "Bacterial small subunit ribosomal RNA", at positions 899 to 1397 of the family's 1533-position model. The record is from RNAcentral.
ACUCAAAUGAAUAGACGGGGAUCCGCACAAGCGGUGGAGCGCCUGCUUUAAUUCGAUGAUCAGCGAAGAACCUUACCGAGGUUUGACAUGCAACUGCAAAUCCCAUGAAAGUGGGACCCCUUCGAGGGUGUUGCACAGGUAUUGCAUGGCUGUUGUCAGCUCGUGUCGUGAGAUGUACCGUUAAGUCGGGUAACGAGCGCAACCCUUAUCGUUAGUUGUAUCACUCUAGCGAAACUGCCCUGGCAACAGGGAGGAAGGAGAGGAAGACAACAAGUCAGCAUGGUCCUUAUGCCUCGGGCAAGACAGGCGCUACAAUGGCCAGUACAAUGGGCAGCCACAUAGUAAUAUGGAGCUAAUCUCAUAAAGCUGGUCUCAGUUCAGAUUGAGGGCUGAAACUCGCCCUCAUGAAGUUGGAAUCGCUAGUAAUCGUAGGUCAGCUAUACUACGGUGAAUACGUUCUCGGAUCUUGUACACACCGCCCGU